UUGAUAGAAACCAAAAAGAGGUGUAUCACUGUUAAUGAUAUUAUUGAAUUAUAAUUCCUAUCAAUC
This 66-nucleotide transfer RNA is filed under the name Laomedia astacina. RNAcentral's name for it is "tRNA-Asn". Lineage: Eukaryota; Metazoa; Arthropoda; Malacostraca; Decapoda; Laomediidae. The record is from RNAcentral.